UCCCGGCAGUUCAAGUGGCAUCCAAUUUUAUUGGGUCUAAAACAUCCGUAGCUUGUUUGUUAAGUCUCUUGUGAAAUCUCGUGUCUCAAGCACGAGGCGCGCGGGAGAUACUGUCAAACUAGAGAUCGGUAGACGUAAGGAGUACGCUGGAGGUAGUGGUUAAAUACGUUAAUCUUCGGUGGACUAACAAUUUAGCGAAGGCAUCUUACGAGGACGAAUCUGACAGUGAGGGAUGAAGGCCAGGG
This 245-nucleotide ribosomal RNA is filed under the name uncultured archaeon. RNAcentral describes it as "partial 16S ribosomal RNA". It matches the Rfam family "Archaeal small subunit ribosomal RNA", at positions 474 to 716 of the family's 1478-position model. The record is from RNAcentral.